UAGAGUUGCCUGAUGUUAUGC
This 21-nucleotide non-coding RNA is filed under the name Arabidopsis thaliana (thale cress). Lineage: Eukaryota; Viridiplantae; Streptophyta; Magnoliopsida; Brassicales; Brassicaceae. The record is from RNAcentral.